Long non-coding RNA from Myodes glareolus (Bank vole), 1060 nucleotides. RefSeq lists it as uncharacterized. The record is from RefSeq and is a predicted model, not a curated record. Lineage: Eukaryota; Metazoa; Chordata; Mammalia; Rodentia; Cricetidae.
ACCAGACUGAGGUUGAGGUGUGACUCCUUCUUAUACUUCCCCUCUCUGGGCCUCAGUUUCCCCAUCUGUACAAUGCCCCUCCCAUCUGUUGCACUAGGUGGAUGGCAGCCUGUGUCCCUCUCUGCUGUCAUUUUACUACGCAGAUCCUCAAACAAACUCCAAGAUGGGGGCAUCCCUUAUUAAUUUAUGAUCGACUCUUAUCAGGACAAAUGUGGAAACUGCUGACAAUGUGAGCCCACCCUUCUUUGCCACCCUCUCAGCUGCUUCUACAGCCUUUGUCCAUAGCACACUCGCAGCCGCUGUUGAUUACUGAGCCCCUGGACAAGACAGAUGCCCUUCCGAGCCCUGCGUGGAUGCUGAUGCUCACCCUGCGCCCUCAGGUCCAUGCUUGUUGGAUUUCUACAUUGUAGAUGAGGCAAGAAAGGCUUACUGGACUUCAGCAACUAGCCCUAGCUCGCCACAGGCUGGUAGGGGACAGAAAGGGCAAUCUAACCUGAUGUGUGACUGGAGGAACGUGUCAUGGAUCACCAAAGCUCAGUUGCAUUUCUAGACCGCAAGUAACCUGAGGCAGGGGGAUCAUGUUUUCUGCCUUUUUGGUUUUGUGCUAAGCAUAGAACCGGGUGUCUGAGGUGACUGAAGGGCAGAGUUAAUUGAGGGGAAGAAGUAGUGCCUUUCUCUUAUUGGGUAGUUAAGGUGGAGCAGCUCCUGCCAGAGUGAGGCCAUCUGGGUUGGCCGAUGUUUGUGUGGGACAUGUCACUUCUUAGAUUAAAGGAACCAAGAGAAGCCAGGAAUGAUGCAGGCCUGAACUCUUCAGUUAGAGUAUUAUUAUGAGAACUUGUUUCAGGAAAGUUUUUUUUUAAAGUAAAUAAUAAUUAAACAAAAAUCUUAUAUGCCUUGUUCUUUGAGCUGGAAGGGAAGACUAGAGAGACUGAGGGUGGCAGAGGAGAUGGUCAGUCCUGAGACCCCACCCCACUCAAACCUGCUUCCUUAUCUGGCUUCUCUGGAAGGGGAACAGGUCCUGUUCACGCAGGAGAGCAGUGUGAGGGCUGAGCUGUGAGGA